CGGGAAUGGAAACACUUUCAUCAACGAAGCAAGAAGAUAUGGUUGAUGUGAAUCUCAAGUCCUCAAAUGCUAAUGCAUCACAGUCCCAAGGGCAGUCAGGAGGAUGUGCUUGUUGAUUCGAUACUGACUGUUAAAAAGGCGCUCGUCUCUGCAAAGCUAGCGAUUUCUAUCCCCUCCCAUGGCUAGGUAAGGUUUUGAUGAUAUUGGCCUCAGUAGUUGACCUGUAUCACACACACGGGGAGUUCGAAAUUGGUAUGGCGGGGGUUGGAAGUUUGCUAAGCGUUAUCAAAUUACAGAGUUUUUUUUGUUUUUCUCUUCCAGUAUGAUGUACACAUUCAUGAAUAAUGUUGCUCUUUGGGUUUGGUUUGGGUUUAUUGUACGUAGUUUGUAAGAUAGUGUAUGUAAACCGAGUGGCUUUCUGGAUUACGGAUUCUCUAUCGUCUUCGCUUUUGGCUGUAUUUUUUGCUUUUUCCCUGUUUGGCAGAGUUGGGUGACUGAACUCAAGAGUUGUCAUUCGGACGUCCAUGGAUUAUUGGGCUAGCCCCCGAUCUCGAGAAUUACAGACUCCCGCCCCUCGUACUCGAUACAACUCAUUGUCUCUGACAGUGGUUGGCCCUCUUUACAAUCUCUUCGAAUCUCAAUUUAAUUAUUUUAUAUUAUUCUAAUUUCAUUCUAAAUUCUACGGCGGAUAAAUAUAUCAGCUGUCAUAAAAAAGUGUUCCGAAAUAUAAAGUUGUUUGAAAAAGAAAUCCCGCAAAAUAGUGGGGGAUAUUUAUUCCAAAUCUGCGUUGCGUUAAACUAAACUCUUUGACUCUUGGGCGCUAUUUCCCACCGAAUCGAAAUCUAUGGACCCACCCCAGCUAACGCUCCCACGUACGUAGAUAUCGACUGCCGGAGUAGUCGUCGCUUUUUUCACGGCGAGGAACCACCGCAUGCUGCCGUUGAUUGGCCAGCCUUAAUCCCCCAAAGGAAACCGUCGCCGGAUUCCUUUCGUUUGGAAGCCCCACUUCGUACCACCCCUACUUUCACUCUCUUCGCCCGCUAGUCUCAGGCUCACAAUCACUACCGCCGGCGCGGAAAAUCCUCACUUUCCAGUACUCCCUCCAUCCCUCUUCCUCUUUCAUUUCUGCUCGUCUCUGUUUCUCGGUAUUAUUCUGUUUGGUUAGUUCCUGAUGUCGAACUGAUUCCUUGCAGCCGGCGAAUAUUCUGCCGGAUUUUCCUUUUUGGCAGUCUGCACAAAAAAUCCCGAUCAUCCACCGUAAUCGGCUAUCUCUCUCUCUCCGUCACGAAACAUGGCUGGUAAGUGGUAACCCCCUCCCUCUAUCUCUCUCUGAGCUAAUUGACUUAGCAUAACUAUAACCGAGUGUACAAACGUGAAUGAAAAGGUCAGUUGGUUUUUUUUUUGUUUUAAAGGGUAAAUGAAGGAGCCAUUGUUAACAAUGAGUGAAUCCAUUAUUGACCUUAGAACAUCCUGACUUCAUGUCUACAAUUCAACAAAUCUAUAAGAAGGAUACUUCCUCUCAUGGGAGCAAUGUCUGCUGCAUUAUCUUUCACUUGCUAUAAUCUUGCCUGUUUGCUGCGGAUUAUUUGUUUGACAUCUGUUGUUUCUGUACUUUCAGGCAGACAUUCGUUUCUGAACACAUCCAAAUGGAUUGAAGAGGUUCGCACUGAGCGGGGAAGUGAUGUCAUAAUUGUACUGGUCGGAAAUAAGACUGAUCUUGUUGACAAAAGGUAAUGUUUUAUCGUUUUAGGAGUUGAUUUGAAAUGCUUUAUUUUUCAUUUGCGUACAGAUUGCUUAAUCUACAAAUGGUUGAACAACUAUAGUAUGUGCCCCCACCCCCCUUCCCCUCUGAAACCUUAGGCACACGUGUGGCAGGUGUUUCCUUAUAAUCGUACUCGUAUGAAUGAAUAUGUAACAGGAAAUUGUGAAUGUGCUGGCUAUUUUUGAAAUAUAUCCAUAAGACUCCUUUAUAUUAACCUCUUCAACAAUGACAGUACCUUCAGAAAGGAAUUAGUUGUCUGACAGUUGUGCAGAAAUACAGUAGGGGUGUGAAGAACUACUUGCAUUGAACAGUUGCAGCCUUUUGAAUCAUUGGUGAUCCUAAUUUUUGGCAGGCAAGUUUCAGUAGAGGAAGGAGAGGCAAAAGCUCGUGAGAUGAAUGUCAUGUGUAUCGAGACAAGUGCAAAGGCUGGCUUCAAUAUUAAGGUAGGGGUUGUUGCUUUGGUUUGAUUUGUAGUGAAGGAAAUUAAAUUUGUACUGAAGUCAUAUGGCUAUUGGGUUGAAAACCUUGUGCUGGAUUCUAUUUUUCUCAGGCGCUGUUCAGGAAGAUUGCAGCAGCACUGCCGGGAAUGGAAACACUUUCAUCAACGAAGCAAGAAGAUAUGGUUGAUGUGAAUCUCAAGUCCUCAAAUGCUAAUGCAUCACAGUCCCAAGGGCAGUCAGGAGGAUGUGCUUGUUGAUUCGAUACUGACUGUUAAAAAGGCGCUCGUCUCUGCAAAGCUAGCGAUUUCUAUCCCCUCCCAUGGCUAGGUAAGGUUUUGAUGAUAUUGGCCUCAGUAGUUGACCUGUAUCACACACACGGGGAGUUCGAAAUUGGUAUGGCGGGGGUUGGAAGUUUGCUAAGCGUUAUCAAAUUACAGAGUUUUUUUUGUUUUUCUCUUCCAGUAUGAUGUACACAUUCAUGAAUAAUGUUGCUCUUUGGGUUUGGUUUGGGUUUAUUGUACGUAGUUUGUAAGAUAGUGUAUGUAAACCGAGUGGCUUUCUGGAUUACGGAUUCUCUAUCGUCUUCGCUUUUGGCUGUAUUUUUUGCUUUUUCCCUGUUUGGCAGAGUUGGGUGACUGAACUCAAGAGUUGUCAUUCGGACGUCCAUGGAUUAUUGGGCUAGCCCCCGAUCUCGAGAAUUACAGACUCCCGCCCCUCGUACUCGAUACAACUCAUUGUCUCUGACAGUGGUUGGCCCUCUGCUUCUCUACUCCCCUAGCACCCUCGCCACCAUUUCAUGCGAAACGAAAGCACGGUUCCCUCAUUAUCCGGAACAAUCAUCCCCACGCCUUCCCGACCAUCCUCUUCAU
RNAcentral lists this long non-coding RNA (3071 nucleotides) under Linum usitatissimum (flax). RNAcentral describes it as "long non-coding RNA (LUSI_LNC008147)". Lineage: Eukaryota; Viridiplantae; Streptophyta; Magnoliopsida; Malpighiales; Linaceae. The record is from RNAcentral.